GAGCGUAGCUGUCGUGCCCAAGUUUAGCCUGAUUAAUGCUCCGGGUCAGACCCCAGCCACUGCCCCAACGGCCGCUGCUCUUCCUGCCCUGUGCGAAACAAAUGAUGUGAAGAGCAGCAGCUCUUCUGAAGGAAUCCAACCAGCAGCUCCAGAGUGUGGAAAGACUUCCCCAGAGCAGGAAAACGAGUCAGCCAAACCUUCAACAAACUUGGAGGAGAUUAGAGCAGAGAUCAGAGCCGAGAUCGCAGCAAAGAUUGAAGAGGAAGCGUACCAAAGAGGGUGAGGCUUUGUCUCCAGCUCCUUCAUGUGCUUAUUAAUCCAAAAUAUUUCAUUUGAGUCUUGAUAAUGAAAGUUUGAUGUAUGAUCUUGAAACCAUUUGAAGCAGA
RNAcentral lists this long non-coding RNA (386 nucleotides) under Oryzias javanicus (javanese ricefish). RNAcentral describes it as "lncRNA (ENSOJAG00000018168.1)". Lineage: Eukaryota; Metazoa; Chordata; Actinopteri; Beloniformes; Adrianichthyidae. The record is from RNAcentral.